Molecule: long non-coding RNA, 1754 nt
Organism: Brassica rapa (field mustard)
Lineage: Eukaryota; Viridiplantae; Streptophyta; Magnoliopsida; Brassicales; Brassicaceae
Source: RefSeq, a predicted model, not a curated record
UUUAUUUGCAUUUUGGUCCUUACAAUCACACAUCACCUUUAUGAUUCAUAAAUAUUUUCUCGUUUAUUGUUUUAAUUCUUAAAAAAAAUCUCAUAAAUAUUUUAUUUUUUUACAGAUUUUAAAUUUUACACAUAAAAUUAAAUAAAACUUUAAAAGAAGAUUUAAAAUAUUUUAUGCUAGAUUUAGACAACAACAAUAUACAAAACAAAACUUAACAAAAAGAUUUUAAAAAAUUACAUGAAGACAUAACUAUUACACAAAUUUAAAUAUUACAACAACAUUAAUAGUCAGUAAGUUUGAUCCGGAACCUUCAAAAUUUUCAAAUAUUGUCCAAAUUUUUUUGUGUAACUGAAAAUGGUUGUUGUUGUUGUUUUUGAUGUCUUUUUGUACAAUUAUUUCUUAUUUAUAUCGAACAUAUUCACGAGUAUUAAUAUAAUUGAAAGGAAAUUAGUCUUUUAGCAAUAUUUUAUGUUUAUCUUUUACUUUCUUGUUCCGGUCUAAUGUAUUUACAAGUAUCAAUAUUAUCUGAUUUCAACAACUUUUAGUUGGUAAUCUACAAAGUAAAAAUGAGGAGAGCCAUUUUUACUUCGAAAUGCACUAAUAGAUUAUAUAUGCAUUAGGAAAAUCAUUUUAUGAAAUAGUAUAGUAUUUUGUUUGAAGUUUAAUAUUAAUUAAGUUAUUUUUAUUUAAAUUUUUAUAUUCUAGUAAAAUAUUUUAUUAAUUAAUAUUGUUUCAAUAUGUUUAUAUAUGUGCUAGUUGUUUACAAAAGUUUUAUGAAUUCAAAUUAGUUAUGACAAAUAUAAGGACCAUAUUAUAAAAUAUAAAUAGUUUUGAAUUUGAGUUUAAAGUUGGGGAAUUGCCACUAAUACCACUUUCCUAAUACCACUUUUCAACUUUACACUUUUUAAUUUUACCAUUAAAAUUUUAAUUGGCAAAAUACAUUUAUACCCCUAACUAAUUAAGCCUAAGACUAACUCUUCUCUCUUACAUCUCACGAUAAUUAAAUCUCAUCAUCUCACAAAUCGGCGACGGAUUCCGGCGGUGCCGAGUUCUCCGGCGAGAUUGGAUGACUCUGCAGAGUUGUCCGGCGAGAUCCGACAAAGCUACGGCGAGAUCCGACGAAGCUACGGCGAGAUUCGACGAAGCUACGGCGAGAUCCGACGAAGCUACGGCGAGAUCCGACGAAGCUACGGCGAGAUCCGACGAAGCUACGGCGAGAUCGUACGAAGCUGCGGCGAGAUCCGACGAAGCUACGGCGAUUUCUCUCACGACGCUAAGAAACGCUAACAAAGGUUAUGAUGAUUGAACCAACGACGCUCCAGUGACCAUAUCCAAUUGCUCCGACCAAAUCUCGCUCCGGUGAACACCAACAAGCUCCGGUGAACACGAUCAACAAACUUAAAGAUAGUUUGUAUUUUGAAGAUCGACGAGGUUGGUGAGCUGUUUGAAGAAGUAAGAGGGACUCAGAACAAGAACGUGGUUUGUGAGAUCAAAGAAUUGCAGAUUUAUAAAGCUUUAUAAAAGUUGCAGAGUUGGCUUCUUAACACCAUCUUCUCUCUCAUUUUCUUCAGACAUCUCUUAUACUAAAACAAUCGUAUAUCUCUCCUAAGACUUGCAAAGUUGAAGAGGUUAGUUGGACAUCUAAGUGAAUUUGGCUGCAAUUGUUUUUUUUUUACAAAAGAGAAGAGUGUGAUGUGGAGAAACCUUGAUGUUCUCAGAUUAUGUUUGAAAUGACAACUUUUUGUUGAGAACAA